This 562-nucleotide ribosomal RNA is filed under the name Pyronemataceae sp. 1 SS-2016. RNAcentral describes it as "eukaryotic LSU rRNA". The stretch from base 180 to 333 matches the Rfam family "5.8S ribosomal RNA". Lineage: Eukaryota; Fungi; Ascomycota; Pezizomycetes; Pezizales; Pyronemataceae. The record is from RNAcentral.
GAUCAUUAAAAGAAAUGUGAAUUUUCAAUUCAUAAACACAUUCCGCGUACUUAUCCCUGUUGCUUCCGCAUGUUUGGCAAUAGCUCUUGCCAUUCCUCUACACUAGAGGAGCUUGCGGGAGAUUAUAAUAACCUCUAUCAUUCUCAUGAUGUCUGAAUCUUUGCCUUUGCAAGUAUUAAAACUUUCAACAACGGAUCUCUUGGUUCUCGCAUCGAUGAAGAGCGCAGCGAAAUGCGAUAAGUAGUGUGAAUUGCAGAAUUCCGUGAAUCAUCGAGUUCUUGAACGCACAUUGCGCCCCUUGGCAUUCCAAGGGGCAUGCCUGUCCGAGCGUCAUUGAAAACUCUCAGGUUUGGAUUUAUCCACUUCCUGGUUUUGAGUUUGGAGCUUUGUUGAUGUUCCAAUUCGAAAUGAAACGGCGCAAAUGGUUGUCGGAUCUGUGUCAUAAGUUUAAUCCUUCACAAGUCGAUGCAUCAUUUGCCGCUCUCUAUUAGGAUGUUACUCCUUAUGACCUCGGAUCAGGUAAGGAUACCCGCUGAACUUAAGCAUAUCAUAAGCCGGAGGA